AUAGUAAAAAUUACCAAAUUGUGCAUUUUUAAAGGGUGAAUAUGUACAUGAAUUAUACAUCUCAAUACAACUCUCAUUAAAAAAAUAAAGAUGACAACUUUGUUCCACUCUAUUACGUAAACAGCUUGGAAAUCAUCACUCCCAUCCUCACAAGAAAAAAAGCAGAACAACUGAAAAUCAACUACUCUUAGAAGCACUGGAAAACUGAGUUCACAGGUCACAACACCUCCAGAAAAACUGAAGAAACAUGUGAAUAUAGACAUAUGGAGCUAUAUUUACUCUAAAGCCAAUAACUGGAAGGAACACUUUAAAAGAAAUCCCAAUACUCUGGCCUGGACUUUUCCGUGGCUCCUGUCUUCUGCUUCCUGACUAAAACCUGGUGCUUCCCCUGUGUAGCAUGCAGUGACCCUCCCUGAGACCUGUGAGUAUAAUAAAAUUCUUCCUUCUAAGCCUUAUUCUCAUAUCCCCCUGCAGCUACCCAGACUUUACCACACCGUAUCCAACACCUACAUUCUUAGAAUAGCCACUAUUAAUAUACAAAAUAAAUU
RNAcentral lists this long non-coding RNA (548 nucleotides) under Homo sapiens (human). RNAcentral's name for it is "novel transcript, antisense to RANBP9". Lineage: Eukaryota; Metazoa; Chordata; Mammalia; Primates; Hominidae. The record is from RNAcentral.